CACACAAGCCCAGCGACCACGACGACGCCGAGCCAGACCUAAUACCCAAUAAUUACUGUGAAUCAUCGAGCGCGCCGGCUCGCAACACGCCCUCCUCGCUGUCAGCACCGCUCGCCGCGCCGCUCGUCGUGCCGCUCGCCACGCCGCUUGCUACGCCCGUGAGCACGUGGGCGCCGCGCAGCGCGUCGGGCUCGCUGCGCGCCGCGGACCUCAACGUAGACGCCAUCAAGGAGAAGCUGCUGGACAAUCGGAUCCCUGAAUCCUGCGUCUAGUGCGCGCGCCGCCGGUGGAACGCCGCGGGCACAUCGCGAUCACAUCGCUUCUACGUCGCGUGAAUGUCGCGGAAUUCGGCUUGUUUUGUAUCCAAAACACUGUCCUAUGUAAAUUACAUGUAGAUAGAGCCCUUUACCGAUGAGGUUAUUCGUCACGACUCUUCCUCCCCCCUUACACUACCGAGUAUCCGAUUUUGCCAAAUUCUCCAAUUCGAUCCAUCCCUGAAGUAAAUCUUUUUGAUUAAAUGAAGCUGUUGUUGCGGAAUUGGAUACUCUCGACGUGAUUUUGUAAAAAUCGAAGACUUUAAACUGUAAUUUUGUUUUAAAAACUCUUUGUGAUGUAAAUAAUAGGUUGUAAGCGACUGAUUCUUUGCCACUUUUUUACAUGUCUAAGAACUCUAGAUAAUAUUAUUAGUUAAUUAAUGAAACAUCAUGUGAAUGGAAUCGUCGUGAUCUGUAUAAAUAUUUAAUAUUUUUUUUUUGUAAAUAGAGUUUGUACUUGACUUUGAUAGUUUAAGUCGGCUCGAGAAAGUCGCCAAUAGACAAAGUGAUGUCGGUAGAGGCGCAGACAGACAGCUCUCCUUACAAUUUGUCUUCAGCUAAAGAAGUAAGAAAUUCUUUCCUUUCACCGCAAACGUUAAUGGCUGGGGGUCAUGUUACAACUACACCCGUUUCGUUAUGUUGCACAAGGCGACUGUGUUAACUAUGUACAAAAAUCAAAUAUUUACCUUGACCUCAUACAGACUUAUACAUAUUAGUAUAUAGCUAUGUGUACAUACAUAUCGUGUCAAGUAUGGAGACAAAGUGUUGGCUUUACAAUGGUGUCCAACACUCAGACUCGAGCAGUAACAUGUUAAAGUUGUCCAAAGUAUUCAGAUUAAAUAUGAAUUUGUUUGACAUAUCAUGUUGUUUCCAUACGUUGAAUAUUGAAGUGGCUGCGUUUUUUCACGCAGACCGCAGACACACAUAUCGUUGUCAAUCAUAUCAAGACGUAGGCGCAGGAGCAGGCGAAGGCGAAGGCGCUCUCGAGGCACGAUCGAUGUCGACCGACUGAUCUUGGUGGGAAUAGCGAAUUAAAACUAUCCUUUAGGUAAUUUAAUUUGUAAGUAAUAAGUGAUUUGUUAUUAUAAAGUUUAAACAAACUCAAAGAGUUCGCCCUACUGUUGACUUAUUUAUUUUUGAAGAGAAUAAAGGUUGUCUUG
Molecule: long non-coding RNA, 1474 nt
Organism: Papilio xuthus (Asian swallowtail)
Lineage: Eukaryota; Metazoa; Arthropoda; Insecta; Lepidoptera; Papilionidae
Exons: 3
Source: RefSeq, a predicted model, not a curated record